AAAAAAAAAAAAAAAAAAAAAAAAAAAAAAAAAAAAAAAGAUGAGGCGGCCCGCUGCAUAUAUUUUGAUCGACAUUAGUCAUGUUUUGGAUUGGGCUUAAACAACAGAAGAUAUCAAAUGAAUUAUGAUUCGUUGGAUCUCGUCCACAAAAUUGGAUUGUGAAAUGAAAGAUUAGACAAAGUGAGUUUUCCGAUUAUCUUGUCAAAAUAAAAUCCAAAAGAAACAUCUUUCCUUUCUUUUUGAGUGCUGCUAUUUACCC
RNAcentral lists this long non-coding RNA (259 nucleotides) under Citrus sinensis (sweet orange). Its description in RNAcentral is "long non-coding RNA (CSIN_LNC000637)". Lineage: Eukaryota; Viridiplantae; Streptophyta; Magnoliopsida; Sapindales; Rutaceae. The record is from RNAcentral.